GACAACCAGGAGGUUGGCUUAGAAGCAGCCAUCCUUUAAAGAAAGCGUAAUAGCUCACUGGUCAAGCGGCUUUGGGCCGACAAUAUAACGGGGCUUAAGCACUAGACCGAAGCCGUCGAAUAGCGGAUCUUGCGAGGUCCGCAAUUGGUAGAGGAGCGUUCCCAAUGCAGCGAAGUCAGACCGUAAGGACUGGUGGAGCGUUGGGAAGUGACCCUGCCGGCAUAAGUAGCGAGAAGGGAAGUGAGAAUCUUCCCCGCCGUAAGCCUAAGGUUUCCUGAGGUAGGUUCGUCCGCUCAGGGUUAGUCGGGAGCUAACGCGAGGCCGAAAGGCGUAGCGGAUGCACAUCCGGUUAAUAUUCCGGAACUACCUAGAUAUCGUUAUCACGAUGGGGGGACGCAGGAGGCUAUACGAGCCUGGAGAGGGCCGCAAGGCGCCAGGUUGAGGUCUGUAGGGAGAUCCACUAGGCAAAUCCGGUGGGUCAUAAUCCUGAGGGGCCGAAGCGAGUCCGCAAGGACGCAAAGUCGUAGACGCCACGCUGCCGAGAAAAGCCUCUAAGGAGAUAUCUGGGUACCCGUACCGCAAACCGACACAGGUAGGCGAGGAGAAAAUCCUCAGGCGCAAGUGAGAACACUCGUUUAGGAACUCGGCAAAAUUGCCCCGUAACUUCGGGAGAAGGGGUGCUCCGUUACCGUUAGUGUCCUCGCGACACGAAGCGGGAGGGAGUUGCAGUUAAGAGGCCCAAGCGACUGUUUACUAAAAACACAGGGCUCUGCUAAGUCGAAAACGACGUAUAGGGUCUGACGCCUGCCCGGUGCCGGAAGGUUAAAAGGAGGGGUUAGCGCAAGCGAAGCUCUGAAUUGAAGCCCCGGUAAACGGCGGCCGUAACUAUAACGGUCCUAAGGUAGCGAAANNGGAGCCAACGGUGAGAUACCACCCUUACGACUCCGGUGUUCUAACUGCAGCCCGUCAUCCGGGCUCAGGACACUGCUAGGCGGGUAGUUUGACUGGGGCGGUCGCCUCCUAAACGGUAACGGAGGCGCGCGAAGGUUCGCUCAGGCUGUUUGGAAAUCAGCCGUAGAGUGCAAAGGCAUAAGCGAGCUUGACUGCGAGACAAACAAGUCGAGCAGGUGCGAAAGCAGGCCUUAGUGAUCCGGUGGUCCCGCAUGGAAGGGCCAUCGCUCAACGGAUAAAAGGUACGCCGGGGAUAACAGGCUGAUCUGAGCCAAGAGUUCACAUCGACGCUCAGGUUUGGCACCUCGAUGUCGGCUCAUCGCAUCCUGGAGCUGUAGCAGGUUCCAAGGGUCCGGCUGUUCGCCGGUUAAAGCGGUACGUGAGCUGGGUUUAGAACGUCGCGAGACAGUUCGGUCUCUAUCUGUGAUGGGCGGAGGAAAUUUGAGUGGGGCUGACCUUAGUACGAGAGGACCGGGUUGGACGGACCUCUAGUGUACCGGUUAUCACGCCAGUGGUAGCGCCGGGUAGCUAAGUCCGGAAGGGAGAAACGCUGAAUGCAUCUAAGCGUGAAACCCUCCACAAGAUGAGAUUUCCCUGGACGUAAGUCCCUGAAGGCUCCUGGUAGACUACCAGGUUGAUAGGUCGGGUGUGGAAGCGUAGCGAUACGUGGAGCUGACCGAUACUAAUUAGCCGUGAGGCUUGACC
This 1656-nucleotide ribosomal RNA is filed under the name wastewater metagenome. Its description in RNAcentral is "bacterial LSU rRNA". It matches the Rfam family "Bacterial large subunit ribosomal RNA", at positions 1088 to 2925 of the family's 2925-position model. The record is from RNAcentral.